RNAcentral lists this transfer RNA (73 nucleotides) under Agrilus planipennis (emerald ash borer). It matches the Rfam family "tRNA". From Rfam's summary of the family: Transfer RNA (tRNA) molecules are approximately 80 nucleotides in length. Their secondary structure includes four short double-helical elements and three loops (D, anti-codon, and T loops). Further hydrogen bonds mediate the characteristic L-shaped molecular structure. tRNAs have two regions of fundamental functional importance: the anti-codon, which is responsible for specific mRNA codon recognition, and the 3' end, to which the tRNAs corresponding amino acid is attached (by aminoacyl-tRNA synthetases). tRNAs cope with the degeneracy of the genetic code in two manners: having more than one tRNA (with a specific anti-codon) for a particular amino acid; and 'wobble' base-pairing, i.e. permitting non-standard base-pairing at the 3rd anti-codon position. The record is from Rfam by way of RNAcentral. Lineage: Eukaryota; Metazoa; Arthropoda; Insecta; Coleoptera; Buprestidae.
CCUUUCGUGGCUUAGUAGCUAGAGCGUUGGUGUGUAAAACCAAAGGUCCCGGGUUCGAUUCUCGCCGAGGAGG